CGUGCUCCACCUGCUGGGGGCAGAUGAAGUGCACGUGGGUGUCGAUGCCGCCGGCGGUGAGGAUCAGCCCCUCGCCGGCGAUGAUCUCCGUACCGGGGCCGAUGAUCAGGUUCCUGUCCACCCCGUCCAUGAUGGCCGGGUUGCCGGCCUUGCCAAUGCCGCAGAUGCGGCCGUCCCGGAUGCCCACGUCGGCCUUGACGAUGCCCCAGUAGUCAAUGAUGAGGGCAUUGGUGAUCACCACGUCCGGAGUCCCCUGGGCCCGGGUGGCCUCGCCGGACUGGCCCAUGCCGUCCCGGAUG
RNAcentral lists this small RNA (299 nucleotides) under Hydrogenibacillus schlegelii. RNAcentral describes it as "Bacillus schlegelii 5' ureB small RNA". It matches the Rfam family "5' ureB small RNA". Lineage: Bacteria; Bacillati; Bacillota; Bacilli; Thermicanales; Thermicanaceae. The record is from Rfam by way of RNAcentral.